CUCGAAAAUGUUAAAGUUCUUAUUUCAUGGUAUAACUUUGGUAUGCUUGGACCUAGAGUCUUCAAACUUGACAUGAAGGUUGGCCAGGAUUAACAGAUGACCACUGGUCGUUUCAAGGUCAUUCAUUUGAAGGUGAAGGUCACUGUGACCUUCAAUAUAAAAAUGUUAAAGUUGUUAUAACUUUGGUAUGCUUGGACCUAGAGUCUUGAAACUUGACAUGAAGGUUGGCCAGAACUAGUAAGUAACCACUGGACAUUUCAAGGUCAUUCAUUUGAAGGUCAAGGUCACUGUGACCUUGAAUGUAAAAAUGUUAAAGUUGUUAUAACUUUGGUAUGCUUGGACCUAGAGUCUUGAAACUUGACAUGAAGGUUGGCCAGAACUAGUAAGUAACCACUGGACAUUUCAAGGUCAUUCAUUUGAAGGUCAAGGUCACUGUGACCUUGAAUGUAAAAAUGUUAAAGUUCUUAUUUCAUGUUAUAACUUUGGUAUGCUUGUACCUAGAGUCUUCAAACUUGAAAUAAAGAUUGGCCAGUACUAGAAGAUGACCACUGGUCAUUUCAAUGUCAUUCAUUUGAAGGUCAAGGUCACUGUGACCUUAAAUGUUAAAAUGUUAAAAUUGUUAUAACUUUGGUAUGCUUGGACAUAGAGUCUUCAAACUUGACAUGAAGGUUUGCAAGCACACUUAGAUGACCACUGGUCAUUUCAAGGUCAUUCAUUCUAAGGUCAAGGUCACUGUGACCUUGAAUGUAAAAAUGUUAAAGUUCUUAUAACUUUGGUAGGUAAAAAUGUUAAAGUUCUUAUUCCAUGUUAUAACUUUGGUAUGCUUGUACCUAGAGUCUUCAAACUUGACAUAAAGGUUGGCCAGUACUAGAAGAUCACCACUGCUCAUUUCAAUGUCAUUCAUUUGAAGGUCAAGGUCACUGUGACCUUCAAUGUUAAAAUGUUAAAAUUGUUAUAACUUUGGUAUGCUUGGACCUAGAAUCUCAAACUUGACGUAAAGGUUUGCAAGCACACUUAGAUGACCACUGGUCAUUUCAAGGUCAUUCAUUUCAAUGUCAUUCAUUUGAAGGUCAAGGUCACUGUGAACUUAAAUGUUAAAAUGUUAAAAUUGUUGUAACUUUGGUAUGCUUGGACCUAGAAUCUCAAACUUGACGUAAAGGUUUGCAAGCACACUUAGAUGACCACUGGUCAUUUCAAGGUCAUUCAUUUGAAGGUCGAGGUCACUGUGACCUUGGAUGUAAAUAUGUUAAAGUUGUUAAUACUUUGGUAUGCUUAGACCUAGAGUCUUCAAACUUGAUAUGAAGGUUGGCCAGAACUAGUAGAUGACCACUGGUCAUUUUAAGGUCAAGGUCACCGUGACCUUGAAUGUAAAAAUGUUAAAA
Dreissena polymorpha is the source of this 1382-nucleotide long non-coding RNA. RefSeq lists it as uncharacterized. The record is from RefSeq and is a predicted model, not a curated record. The transcript has 2 exons. NCBI's taxonomy places the organism in Eukaryota, Metazoa, Mollusca, Bivalvia, Myida, Dreissenidae.